UGAGCUCAGGCAAGGUUACCCGCUGAACUUAA
This 32-nucleotide ribosomal RNA is filed under the name Oedogonium angustistomum. Its description in RNAcentral is "partial 28S ribosomal RNA". RNAcentral also lists the same sequence under 5 other names. Lineage: Eukaryota; Viridiplantae; Chlorophyta; Chlorophyceae; Oedogoniales; Oedogoniaceae. The record is from RNAcentral.